GACGAACGCUGGCGGCGUGCUUGACACAUGCAAGUCGAGCGACUGCAUUCUUUUCGGAGGGUGUAUGGAGCGGCGAACGGGUGAGUAACACGUGAGUAAUCUGCCUUUGGCUUGGGAAUAACUUCGGGAAAUCGGGGCUAAUGCCUGAUGUUUACUGUCUGCUGCAUGGUGGGUGGUGGAAAGAUUUUUUGGCCAGGGAUGAGCUCGCGGUCUAUCAGCNGUUGGUGGGGUAAUGGCUUACCAAGGCUUUGACGGGUAGCCGGCCUGAGAGGGUGUUCGGCCACACUGGGACUGAGACACGGCCCAGACUCCUACGGGAGGCAGCAGUGGGGAAUAUUGCGCAAUGGGCGUAAGCCUGACGCAGCGACGCCGCGUGGGGGAGUGAAGG
RNAcentral lists this ribosomal RNA (388 nucleotides) under uncultured bacterium. Its description in RNAcentral is "bacterial SSU rRNA". It matches the Rfam family "Bacterial small subunit ribosomal RNA", at positions 28 to 414 of the family's 1533-position model. The record is from RNAcentral.